This 215-nucleotide small RNA is filed under the name Nostoc sp. Its description in RNAcentral is "c-di-AMP sequence". It matches the Rfam family "c-di-AMP riboswitch aptamer (ydaO/yuaA leader)". Rfam says of the family: This family represents a conserved RNA structure found upstream of the ydaO and yuaA genes in Bacillus subtilis and related genes in other bacteria. The ydaO/yuaA element is thought to act as a genetic "off" switch for the ydaO and yuaA genes in its native state. Lineage: Bacteria; Bacillati; Cyanobacteriota; Cyanophyceae; Nostocales; Nostocaceae. The record is from RNAcentral.
AAAAUAAGUCUGCCUAAUCCAGCUUUACUCUCAAAACACCUAUGUGCAGGGUUGAAGCUAGGAACGGAGGAACCAAGUUUGGGGCGUAUCUGCCAAAAAAGCUGAAGCUAAAGUAUGAAAAAGAGAUUUCAAAUUUUAGACUUAGAGCAUUUAGAGAAGGACAUCUCUCAGUCCUAGCCCGUCAGCUAACUUCGUAGGCAUUGAGAGGAGAUUGA